Molecule: ribosomal RNA, 497 nt
Filed under: uncultured bacterium
Lineage: Bacteria
Description: partial 16S ribosomal RNA
Rfam family: Bacterial small subunit ribosomal RNA
Source: RNAcentral
GACGAACGCUGGCGGCGUGCCUAAUACAUGCAAGUAGAACGCUGAAGCUUGGUGCUUGCACCGAGCGGAUGAGUUGCGAACGGGUGAGUAACGCGUAGGUAACCUGCCUGGUAGCGGGGGAUAACUAUUGGAAACGAUAGCUAAUACCGCAUAAGAUUAGAUGUUGCAUGACAUUUGCUUAAAAGGUGCAAUUGCAUCACUACCAGAUGGACUUGCGUUGUAUUAGCUAGUUGGUGAGGUAACGGCUCACCAAGGCAACGAUACAUUGCCGACCUGGGAGGGUGAUCGGCCACACUGGGACUGAGACACGGCCCAGGCUCCUACGGGAGGCAGCAGUAGGGGAUCUUCGGCAAUGGACGGAAGGCUGACCGAGCAAAGCCGCGGGAGUGAAGGAGGUUUUCGGAUCGUAAAGCUCUGUUGUAAGAGAAGAACGAGUGUGAGAGUGGAAAGUUCACACUGUGACGGUAUCUUACCAGAAAGGGACGGCUAACUACGUG